GGCUCCUUGAUUGAAAAAAAUAAGGAGUCGGACCUGCCCAGUGAAUUUCUUUUAACGGCCGCGGUACUCUGACCGUGCAAAGGUAGCGUAAUCAUUUGCCUUAUAAUUGAAGGCUAGUAUGAAUGGUUUGACAUGAGCAAUUCUGUCUCUUUUUUAUUUUUUAAAAAUUAACUUUUAGGUGAAGAGGCCUAAAUAAAAUUAAAGGACAAGAAGACCCUGUCGAGCUUAAAAGACAAAAUAGGAAUUAAUAUCUAAGAAAUACACUUCUAUUAAGCUUUUUAGUUGGGGCGACUAAGGAACAAACAAAGCUUCUUUCAAAAAAUCACGCUAAUCAGCAAAGAUCCAGCAUCACUGAUCAAGAAAAUUAGUUACCGCAGGGAUAACAGCAUAAUCUCUCUUGAGAGACCAAAUCGAAAGGGGGGGUUGUGACCUCGAUGUUGGACUAGAAUAUCCGAAAGAUGCAGACGUCUUUGAAGGUUGGUCUGUUCGACCAUUAAAAUUCU
This 503-nucleotide ribosomal RNA is filed under the name Spekia zonata. Its description in RNAcentral is "partial large subunit ribosomal RNA". It matches the Rfam family "Bacterial large subunit ribosomal RNA", at positions 1819 to 2597 of the family's 2925-position model. Lineage: Eukaryota; Metazoa; Mollusca; Gastropoda; Thiaridae. The record is from RNAcentral.